Pangasianodon gigas (Mekong giant catfish) is the source of this 73-nucleotide non-coding RNA. The record is from the annotation of a GenBank genome assembly. Lineage: Eukaryota; Metazoa; Chordata; Actinopteri; Siluriformes; Pangasiidae.
GGAGUUGUAGCUCAGUGGUUAAGGCUCUGAGCUAGUAAUCAGAAGGUUGUGAGUUCAUAUCUGAGCAGAUCAA